CCCCCGCCUCCUUUUUUCCAAAAUCCAUCCAUCGAUCCCAUCGAACCUCCCUCCUCCCUUCUAGAUCGAGAGAGAGAACUCGCCUCCUCCUUUCCAGAUCGCCGCCGCCACCUCCCUCCACAAGGUACAGCCACUUGACCUCGUGGGGCCCAUCGUCUAGCAGCCCGAGUACAACCUCUUCUCCCGCCACAAGGUACUGCCGCUGCUGCCUCGAUUAUUACUUCAGUUAAUCCUACAUUCUGCUGCUGCUACUGCUAAUCUCGAUUUGAUCCUUAAUUGAUCCAUUGUUGAGCGGUACUGUGGUACUACUGGAGUAUCAGCAAUGAUGCGUUGGGUGUGUUGCUAAUCUUGAUUUGAUGUCUAAUUAGUGAAUCAGUGGUACUUUACUAAUAUACUGUAUUAGCAAUGAUAUCUUGGAUGUGUGGAUUGAUGUGUACAACUGUUGCUGCUGUAGAUCAUUUAUUGUAGGAGUACAACUGUUGCUACUGUCAUCUCAUUUUGGUUGCCUCAAAGUAUUCAAAACUACAGUUUUUCAAAAACUAUGGUAUUCUAGUAAUACUUUGAAAAUACUUUGCAUCCAAACGGGGCCUGCAAUUAGCACAUAGUUGCGUUGUAUAGUUGCUUAUAUAAUCAGAUGUUGUAUGUAGUCACGUACGCUUUCCAAUUUUGAUCCAAUGCUUGCUUCCUAGCUCACGUGUGUCAUUUUUUCAGAUAGUUGCGACUCCUUUAUAAUUGACAUGCUUAUUGUUUCUCAAUGAAGAGAGUACAAGCAGACGGGCGGUCUGAACUGAUGCCAUGUUGAUAUGUCUGCUUCAUCUGUGCUUACCCUUGUGGAUAGCAUCUGAGAGAAAACAAGAUCUUUCAUUUUCAGCAAUAGGUGUUUGUUCUCUAAUUCUCAUAUUUGUGCCAUAGUUUGUAUUCUUCCUAGUAGUUAGAUGGGGUUAAAUUUUUAACUUGACUCCAAGAUCCAAUCCAAUGGGGUCAUAGUGGGCAUGGGUAGGGCGAUGGUUUACUUAUUAACCCUUUGAAGUGUUUGCCAUUGCCCUGGAGUCAAAUGGUCUGACCGAGAUUCUCAGUUUUGGACAAUCUUCAAAUUCUUUUGACUCUUCCUACUUGUAUAUCCUUACACAAUCAAUAAAAAAUUCCAAGUGAACAAAUGAAUCUCUGCUUAUUAUCUGAUGAUACCUUUUAUUAAUGUUGUCCAUUUGUCUCUGCUAUUUCCAUCGCAAAUUUCUUGUGCGGCAUCGGGUGGCAAAUGAGGUGAAAUAUUGUGUGUUAAACACUGAAUCUUUGAUGUGUUUACAAAACUCCGCUUAUUAUCUGAUGCCACAUCAGCUUCGAUCCACAUUUUCAAGUUCUCUUUUCUGCACAGUUUCUUUAUCAUUCCUGUGAAUUUCAUGUCGUUGAUGGCAGUGAUUUGAUUCUAUCCGCACUUCUGAUUAAUCCAUGAAGUACAAGGGAAAACAUGGUUGAAUUUCUUAAUAUGAGCCAUACAAUAGUAAAAUCUUGUUCUCUUGUAGAUUUUGUGUUCUUGUUUUACCGUGGCUGUGAUGAUUAACAGCUUCAGCAAACAUGCCAGUUCUGCUUCUGAGAAUUCAUGACUGAAAAAUCUGUUAGACAAGAUCUGAGCCAUUUUGCACUUAGAAAAGUUUUGUUCUCCCAUUGUUGAUACGUGAAUAUUAAUGAUUAUUACGUUACAUACAUUCUAUAUCUCGGUUUCUAGCAUGUAAUUUGUUCUGAGACACCAUCUGAAUUGCCAAUGAUACUACACCCAACAUUUGGAGGUGCAGAUGGCUCCAGGAUCCUGUUUACAGGAUGAACCUACCUGGAGGCGCUGUAUCCACAUGACAUUCAUGGGCAAGUUCUGAGGUUCUUCAUGAUCACCUCAAACUUUUCUUGAUUUUUUCAAGUUGACUUCUGCUUUUUUACUUGGUAAAUUAAGUGGCUGUUUAUUUAUCUUUGCCGAGUUUAACUAUCCUCUCACAAGUACCUCUGAUUUGCGGAAGAGGCUGAAAAACUCGCAGAUUGUGUGUUGUCAUCAGCUUCGUCUCUUGGUCCUACGAGAUGGGAGUUAAAUAACGACACCAGAUUAACUCUUAUGCAUUCCUGCCUGAAUCAACUAUUUAGCAUAAUCAAUGGAAAGUUAUCUUAAGUAACAAACUCAUGUUUGACAGAACUGAUGGAAUAAAAACCUGAAAACAUAAAUAAAAAUCUCAAGAAAUUUUAAAAGUUGGGUGUACUAUUGCCAUGUCGAGUAGCUUUGUUUGUGGUAACUAGCUUGAGCAGCAUAUUAUGGAAGAACAAAAAUUAUUACUGGAGAUAAUAGCUUGAAUUAGUUUUAGCUUCAACCCAUUGUAUUCUUUAUUUCUUUUGAUUUGUGGCUUGUGGUUAAAACUAGUUCACUGUUAGUUUCAUUUGUGAUGGCCAAUAGGCCAAUAGAUGUGAGAUCCAAGGGAGUUGUUUUUGCUCUAUGAUUUGGCUCUUCUGUUAUAUUUUGAUGAUAUAGUCACUGGAAUGCGGUUGGCCAUUGGUAUGUCAGACCUUCUGUUGUCUAGGGAGGUUUUCCUUCUCCACGUAAUGACAUUUUCAGAUUAGAAUAUUAGUUUGCUUUUGUAUUUUCCUCUUGAUUUUGUUUCAUAAGACUUGUCAACACAAGGUUUGCCUUUGAGAGAACCUAGUGGAUUUUCUCUUCCAUACCGGUUCCGUUGCGGGCGUACACUGAUUUAGAGCCUCCAUCGUGUCUCACUCUCCACAUCUGUUGCUGGGUGUCAGAUUGGUUCUUGAACAUUUUGAAUCUAAUCUUUGUUUUUUGUUGUAUGGCUGCUGUUUUUCAUUUUUGUCCGUGGCCUUCAUAAUCUCGCAUGUUCAUAAUAUAUUGCUGGAAUUGAGCUUAAUAUUCAUGUGUGUAUGUGUGUGUGUGUGUCGAGUAAAGUUUUGGUUUGUGCUGCUCCUUUGUAACGUGAUGAAACAAAGAAUGUCCUUUACUCCUUUUUUGAAUGGAAUAUCCAUAAUACAUUGGCUCUAGUUUUUCUAAUUUUUAUCAGCUGAUUCAUGUAACAGGGCGUCCGUGGAAGGCCAAGUCCUGACUAUGGCCCUCGAGUGAGUCCGGCAUUUGCUCGCUAUUGAAGGAGCUACAUGUAGAAGAAGAAAACACUUGUAGAGCUUGUAACUGAUUCCCAUAGAUGUAGAGCUUGUAUCAACUAAGCUUUUAUUACGUGUAACUUGUAGAACUUGUAAAUGCUACAGCUUGUAGGACGUGUCAUUUGUAGAGCUUGUAAAUAAGCUUUUAUAUGCUAUAGCUUGUAGGACGUGUCAUUUGUAGAGAUUGUGUUGAAUCUGGCUGUUGUUAUUUGAAGUAUCAUGUGUGUGUUUUGCUUGCCAAUUUAACUACUGGUUAUUUUCUUAUUGUCAAAUUGAAAUAUGAAGAAUCUGGGCCUAAUAGCUAGGACCCACUUAUAAGAACCUGACAAGUGGGACCUGUUUGACUAGCGGACCCAUUAUAUAUAUAUAUAAAAAAAACUGUUGGUACAAAAAGGCCAUGACCCAUGAAAUAAAAAGGCCGAAAUGUUGGGCUUGGCCCAUGAAGUCUGACAAAAAAUUGUCAGGAAAAAAAUAUAUAGAAAGGCUGAAUUAAUGGGCUUGACCCAUAUAAACACCCAAUUGGACCGGGCUGAUUCUAAUUUUUGACCUUUUCAAUUGGUCACAAUUUUGCCACGUCAGAUUGCCACGUCGGAUCCGACGUGGCCUGGGCAGACAACUAGUGACCAAAACAAAAGGUGAUGGGUUCAACGACCUUCUGUUUUGGUCGUAAACGUCUACGACCUUCUCACAGAGAAGGUCGUUAAUUUUAGUUUAUGACUGCCAGCUUUUGACCUUCUGUUUUUGGUCACAAAAAGGUCGCAAAUGAAAAACAAUGAUCUUUCUGUGACCAAUAGUGAAGGUCACAAGUUGACAUAUUUCUUGUAGUGCUUUGGCGCUUGUUGCGGAGCAUGUCAUUCUCGUCCAUAAGUUUCUUGACGAUGACGCCGGUCCUCUUCAACAAGGCACUGGUCUCCUCCUGCUGGUCUGCACUUCGGACGAUCUUCUCCCUCAGCAAGUCGUGCUCGGCCCGGAGCCUCUCAUUGCCCUACCUUAGUUGUCGGAUGACGCCGGUAGCCUGUUCAAACGAGGCUUUCAUGUCGUCCUGCAACUUCGCUAAGCCGGAGAUCUGAUCCAUCUGUCUAUGGACGAUCGCAUGCAUGCGCCUGUAACAGUCGUCGCCUGCCCGCGAGAAAUUUUCCCAGGCCGCCGCGGCGCGGCGGGACAUCUCUGAUGCAUUCAUGGCACGCCGGGCAUCUCUGCUGCUUCCGCGGCGCGGCCGAACCAGUCUGCUGCAUCGACGGCGUGGUGGGACCUCCGUGCUGCUUCAGCGGCGCGGCGGGACCUCUGUGCUGCUACUUCCGCGUGGCGGGACAUGUCGGCUGCUCUCGCAGCGAGGCGGGACAUCUCUCGUGCUUUUGCUUCCAUGCUCGCCUCUCCCUGGUGGCAAUCUCUCGACCCAGAACUCACGCUGGCCAUGGCAGGCGCAAGGGAAGGAUGCUGAAUGACUUGUUUGUUUUUGUGGAUGAGGAGUUGAGGAGGAAUGUGCAGUCAUCUUGGCAUACUCGUAUUUAUAACCGAGUACUAAUACGCUCCUAAGUGGGAAACCGUUUAGGUUGUGAUCGGUGUGAAUAGGUUUGGAAUUCAAUAUACUAGCGUGGUACUAAUACGUUCCUAAGUGGGAAACCGUUUAGGUUGUGAUCGGUGUGAACAGAUUUGCAAUUCAAUAUAGCGUGGAGUAAUUUGGAAUGUGACGAGACGCAUGCUCAAAAUUUAUUGACGGUUCUAGUUUUGAAGUGCAACACUAUUCCCAGAUGGAGUACUUCUUUUUCUACUCCCUCCUUUCCGGUUUUAUAGGGCUUAUCUCAAAAUUUUUGUUUUUCCAUUUUAUAAGGCUCAAUUUGGUUGUUCCCCAACACAUGUUCAGAUUCCAAGGUGCAUUAAAUCAUUGCAUGCAAGUAUUAAGAGAAAAUUGACCAAUGCAUGUACUUUAUGCAUGCAUGCAUUGCAAUUAAUGCAUUGAUAAACAUAAUUUGUUGAGAAAAACAAGAGCAUUAAUUAGGUGCUUUUGUAAACUACAAAAAAUAUUCCACCACUCACCAUAAACCGGAAAGGAGGGAGUACUGAUGUGUACGUGCAAUAACUGGCACCGUCGUAUACAUAUCUUAUGGUUAAUGGGGCGUUCUACAGGAAUAGCCGCGUGGCGAGCUCUAGGCUAGUCCUUUUUUCAGACGCGUUAAAUCUAUCUCUCGGGACUUCUCGCACGCACCAUCCUGCCACCCACAAAAACUUGUACUCUGAGUUUAUUAGUACUACUACGUUAUACAGGAAGAGAAGAGGUGCACGCACGCACUCGUCCUCUCACAAACGUGUCUGUUUUUUCUUGAAAAGGAGGAUGAUGACCCCCGACCUCUGCAUCUGGGAGUCACACACGCAUUUUUAGCUACGAAUUGUAGUGUUCUCAACCAUCGGAUUGGCUCUAUCAUGGAUGUACCUAUAUACUAAAACAUGUCUAGAUACAUCUAUAUUUUGACAAGUGGAAGGCAUGUAUUGUGGAACGGAGGGAGUGCUUGUCCGCGCAGCCCAGGUGCCCUCCCUUGCACUGCAGAAAUCAAUCCAACAUCACAUCAAUCAAGAAACCUGCACCUUGCUCAAUCAGCUGAGGUGUAUUCGAACCUCAUACACUGGAGGCGUCAAGGGGCGGAGGCACAAGGGGCAGUGGAGCAUGGUGAGGUCCAUCGAGACCUUAGAGAGCUCCAUCGCCGGGUCCUGUUCCUGUUCGGUCUGCAUGAUCUCGCCCUCCUCGUGCACAACCAUCUCUCGACUUGGGUCGGGGUAUUACAAAGCUUACCGUCACAUAUUUUAUACUCCCUUCAUUCCUAAAUGUACUCCCUCCGUUCGGAAUUACUUGUCUCGGAAAUGGAUGGAAUCCCUACAAAGACUUAUAAUUUAGGAACGAAGGGAGUACUACUUCAAGGUGCAUUAAAUCAACACAUGCAAGUACUAUCAAAAGAAGAGUCACGACAUGCAUGCAUGUGUUGUAAUUAAUGCAUCGGUAAACGCAAAUUAUUGAAAUAUAUCGAGUGCACUGCUUUGAUGUGUCGUGUCAACUCAUACAUCAACGAGAAGUUUGAUUAUCCUCUCCCUCGCGGACUUAACUGCACCUGCCUUUGGCUGUAUGACAGGUUGGCCACACACCUGUCGAGCCCACCUAUCAUACACGCAAAGACAAGAGCGUCCCUCCCUCGCCCAUGAGCGUGGUGGCUGGUAAGACUAGGAGAAGCUUUCGCUACACGCUCUCCCUCCCGCACGCGGUGCACAUGCAGCAGUUCAAUCGGUGUCAGAUGGCCAGAAGCGUACUAUAGUACUCUUCCAGUGCAGUAGUACACCAUCAUUGUUCGACUUCCCGAAGAGGCGAAGAGGCAAGCGCAGCCCGGACGCUCGUGUGGCAGUUUCAUGUGUAGAGUAGUCUAGAUAGCGUGUAUCGUGCCUAUAAGCUUAAAAUCGGGGUCGGCUCCAUGUUAUGUGGCCGUCUCGAAGUUUUUUUUAAAUUAAAAUAGUCUGCUGGCCCUACCUGUCACCCUGGUGAUUGUAGUUUGCACGCUCAUCUGGUCAAGACAGGAAUAUAUAUUUUAAUUUGUUUUUUUUCGAAAAGGGGGAACUCCCCGGCCUCUGCAUCAGAAUGAUGCAUAGGGCCACAUAUAUUUUAAUUUGUGGUGGGUAAAUGUUAGAGGUUGCAGCAAAUAUAUUGUACACUGCGGGUCUUUCAGCCAAGUUUAGAGGCAAGCAUGUGGGGCCAGUGCUAUGAUGUGUCGCGUCAACUCGUAGAACGUGGAGAAGCUUGAUUUUACUACACGCCUUCUCCCUCGCCCAUGCGCGCGGUUGCUCUUAAACAAGGACAGGCUUUUGCUUAGUAGUAGUACUUCUACAACAAGCUAUCUGUCCCACUCGCGGUGGACGGACAUGCAACAGUGGAUUCAACAAUGUAGAAGCAGUAGUAGUAACAUCAUUGUUUGUCUUCUCGAAGAGGCGAAGAGCCAAGCGCAAACCGAACGUUGCAGUUGCAAACAUUGGUGCACGCAUAUAGCCAGGCUCUUGCAUGAGAAAAAAUUGCUAUGUGAGCCCACUAUUGUACUAGUACGUACAACUACUUGCUAGUAUAGCCCUAUAAACCAGAAAGGAGUAUUUGCCCUUCUAGAGAUUUCAACAAGUGACUAGACUACACCGAGACGGAGUACAUAUGGAGCAAAAUGAGUGGAUCUGCACCGUAAAUAAAUACGUACUAGUUCUAUCAUUUUCCUCUCCAAGGUGCACAAUAUUGACUAUACUGACUAGUCUCUUUUUGACACGCAUUUACGUUUUUUUUGACACAGUACAGACGCAAGCGCUCAUAUACACGCGCAUACACUCACCCCUAUGAACGCACACACGCACGACACUAUCAUCUUGAAAUUUAUGAAGUCACCAUAGGCACCUCGUCAUCGAAGGGUCCAUAGGUGCUUGAAUGCCAAGGAGGAAGAGGGUAGCGGUUCCCGAGACGUUGAACGGUCAAUGAUGCAUCCUCAAUUACAUGCAGAGGGAAUUAAUUGGAGAAGCAGACUAGAUCCAGCACGAUGUGAAUGCAACAGAGUUUGGACUCUCAUAUAAUAAAGGCGCCCCACCACUCUAAUCCAUCUACUCCCAAGUCUCUGCGCAACACUGCCCACUCCAAUCCAAGACCAAGUGACCAGAAGCCACAAGCACCUAUGGAGGCGAUGGACGCGAGCGGCAGUCUGCUGUGCCAAAUCAUCCAAGGCGCCGGCCUGCGGCCCGCACCGCGCAGCGUUUCCAGACAGUGCUGGCGACCGCAGGCAUCAUAGCCCUCGCCAACACCGGCUUCGCCUCUCGCAUGGUUGACAUGAUGGUCAACUCCAUCCGCAAGUUCACCACCAUCAAGAAGCGCGCGGACGACCAUGCCGUACUGCUCCAGCCCGCGCGCCCAGGCUCCUCAUUGCCUGCCACCCUCAUCGGCCUACAUGGUGACGAACUCUUUCAAGCCCUGGUGGCCCUGCAGGUGCCGGAGGUCGCGAUGAGGAAUGUGCACCUCGACGCCGCGCUCGCCGCGCAGCGCCUCGCCAUGCAAGAAACCGUCGACAUGCACAUCCACGUCUACGAGGAAAUUGUCUACAUAGGCCACUACAAGGCAAGCGAGGACAGAAAGACGUUGGCCUUCUUCCAGUGGCUGUAAUCUUUGGAUGCCAUUGUUCAGAAGCUCGUCGACUUGGCCACAAAAGCCGCUGCUACUUAGGCACCAUUCGGUGGGCCGGCGCCCUGAGUCGAGGAGGUGGACGUCGUCAAUGGAUGCAUCUCUUCUUCUUGCCUCCUGUAAUCAGCACUGCAUCGCCUCGUGGCCUUAAUGUUUUAUUAGUAUAGUACUCCCUCCGUUCCCAAAUAUAAGUCUUUCUAAAGAUUCCAGCAAGUGACUACUACAUACAGAGCAGAAUGAGUGAAUAUACACUCUAAACUAUGUCUUUAUACAUCUGUAUGCUGUAUUCCAUUUGAACUAUAUCUAAAAAGGCUUAUGUUUAUGAACGGAGGGAGUAUAUGGCAUUUUUUAUUCCAGUCGUAACGUUUUCACUGUGAGGUGGGGCCGCAGUUGAGCAAACCCACACCACCCACCGGGCGUCGGCCGAGUUUAGAGUUAGAAGAGAGAAACGAGGGAGGAGAGCUAGCUGUAGCACGGACACUGUUGUCAGAUGGGACUCGUGUUUAUAGAAUAGGAGUACUGAGCACUCGUGCCUCUUUUUUCUUGAGGGAAAAAUUAGUCGUAUGUCUAGUACCACUACUUGGGUGCGUGCGACCUAUAGUUGUCAUCACUUUAGGUCUACUUUUUGAACCGCGGCUACGCUUCAUAGUACAUAUUUUAUCACGCCUUUAUCCUCCUAUAUGUACUCCAAGGCUAUUUCCAUGUGCUCCCAUUCGCCGACAUGUGGGACAUAGAGCAUCUGGGUCGUAGUGCAUGCAUGACUCAGAGCAUAUGCCGGGGUACUUUACAUUUCAGACCUCAUGAAUUACAUGCAAACCCCCCGCAAAAUAAUAAAUAAAUCAAUGAAUUACUACAUGAAACUGGAUUAUUUUCAUGGAAGUCGGAGCACAUUCAUUAAAUUUUGGACAUAACACGUUUAUAAAAUAUGACCGGACCUAACCCAGUCUAAAGGCCUCUUUGAUUUUUCCUAAAAAAAAGGGCCUCUUUGAUUCACAGGAUACUGAAAACACAGGAAUGGGGAAAGUAUGAUGGCGAUGAACCGAGACGAGGAGAACUCUAACUCAGUUAGAGGUUAGAGUUAGAUUCUAACCCUGAACUAACUCUAAACCAAAGAGGUGUAUGGAUGGCAGGGUUAGAUUGACAAUAAAUGCUCUAUCUCAAUCAUUUGACUACUUUGGACCCUAUUUUUAGUCAGACUAAAAUAAGUCCCUUGGAUCCAAGCACCCUCUUGGUGUGGUCGGCUCUUCUGUGGCCUCCUCCCGCUAACAAUUCACAUAAAUGAACCAUCUAUACAAAUCAAGCAUGCAAAACAUGAUAAUUUUUACUUUGUCCAUACAAAUGUGAUAUCCCACUUAAACAUACAAGUCGUCAAUCAAGCUUCACAAAAAAAACACUUCAUGAAACAAAGAAUGAGAUAACUCAUCACAAAAGUCGUUCACGAUACGGAGGGAGCUCGGAGCCCCUCACGCACCGAGGGAGGAGCUCGCCAUCGUCGCUCUGGAGGAAGGCUCUGUAGAGCCCAAGCCCCGGGAACCCCUCCGACUCCAGCCCUUGCGAGUUGAGGUCGACACCGGCAUGGGUAGCAGGGCAGCUUGCCGCCGACUGGGAACUUAAUCUUUGGGCCUCUAGAAAUAAUGCAAGCCUGUAACUAAAAUACCUAGAAAGGUGAACUGAAUAUUUGGGCCUCUAGAAAUAAUGCAAGCCCGAAACUGAAAUACCUAGAAAGGUGAACUGAAUCUUUGGGCCUCUAGAAAUAAUGCAAGGCAGAAACUUAAAUACCUAGAAAGGUGAACUGAAUCUUUGGGCCUCUAGAAAUAAUGCAAGCCUGAAACUGAAGUACCUAGAAAGGUGAACUGAAUCUUUGGGNNNNNNNNNNNNNNNNNNNNNNNNNNNNNNNNNNNNNNNNNNNNNNNNNNNNNNNNNNNNNNNNNNNNNNNNNNNNNNNNNNNNNNNNNNNNNNNNNNNNNNNNNNNNNNNNNNNNNNNNNNNNNNNNNNNNNNNNNNNNNNNNNNNNNNNNNNNNNNNNNNNNNNNNNNNNNNNNNNNNNNNNNNNNNNNNNNNNNNNNNNNNNNNNNNNNNNNNNNNNNNNNNNNNNNNNNNNNNNNNNNNNNNNNNNNNNNNNNNNNNNNNNNNNNNNNNNNNNNNNNNNNNNNNNNNNNNNNNNAUCUUUGGGCCUCUAGAAAUAAUGCAAGCCUGAAACUGAAAUACCUAGAAAGGUGAACUGAAUCUUUGGGCCUCUAGAAAUAAUGCAAGCCUGAAACUCAAAUACCUAGAAAGGUGAACUGAUUCUUUGGGCCUCUAGAAACAAUACAAGCCUGAAAUUGAAAUACCAAGAAAGGUGAACUGAAUCUUUGGGCCUCUACAAAUAAUGCAAGCCUGAAAUUGAAAUACCUAGAAAGGUGACCUGAAUCGUUGUGCCUCUAGAAAGAUUUAUUACCUCCUCAAGCAGCAUCAAACAAUUCCAUGCGUGCACCACAAAUCUAUAGCAAGUUUGAUCAGGAUCUACUUUUCCAAAUCAGAAUUAGUGCUAGAGGAAGCAAGAUCAAUGAUAUGGUCGUGAGACAAAGAAGGAACGAACAAACUCACCCCUCUCACGACCUCCCUGGUAGAUGCGCCACUGCCGCGCACGACAGAGGGAGAAAAAUGACUGGUGAAGGGGGAGCGGGGCGACCUUCGAAGGCCGGAGGGAGAGGGCGGCCGGAGUAGGGCGACGGAGGCCAGAAGGAGAGGGCGGCCAGAGGAGAGAGAGGGCGAGCAGCGCUUGGGCGGGCGGCCCUAUGGGGAACAGAGAGGAGUCGUGUAAGAGGGGGGAAGCGAUCUGGUGCGGGCAGGUGAGAUUUUUUAGGGGAGCGAUCUGGUGUAGGCAGGUGAGAUUUUUUAGUUCUCUUUUAGUGGGCCUGAGGAUAACUAACCCAAUUAGAACCUCUCCACCGGGCUAGUUUUUUUUAGCUAGGUUAGAGCAAACUAGUUCAAACUAACCCCUCUUGUUUUGAUAAUUUUAGGCUAUUUCAACCCAAACUAGCUCUAACUCAGGGAUCCAAACAAAGAGGAGUGUUACUGUACAUGCUACAGUGUGGACCGUAGUACAUUGUUUUUUAUGGCCAUAUCACCACAUUGUUUUCUACUGCUGGUUCACUGGGCUACCGUGGUUCGCACGGCUGGUUCACUGGGCUGCCGUGGUUCGCACUCCUCCGACCUGAGUAGUACUCCCUCCGUUCCUAAAUAUAAGUCUUCGUAGAUAUUUCACUGUGGACCACAUACGGAUGUAUAUAGAUGCAUUUUAUGUGUAGAUUCAAUCAUUUUUCUCCCUAUGUGGUCCAUAGUGAAAUCUCUCCAAAGACUUAUAUUUAGGAAUGGAGGGAGUAGUAUAGUACUAGUAUAUACCGCAUCAUUCUUUGCUCCUUUUUACUACUCCGACAUGUGGGAGAGCCAGCAUCUAGGUCGACGUGUCAUGCACCAGAUUAGAGCGCGAACAGAAGGGGGGCAUCACCCCGGUCGGAGCGCCAGUAAUUCAUGACUAUAGUGAGUGGUCAUAUCACAAGUCUUUCCAGCAGUAACGCGCCGUCAAAUCACACAGUCCCACUCGCUCACCCUCCUCGCCUCUCUGUCAAACCGCCUACCCGAAAUCUGUCGCGCGUACUGCCCGGGAAAAGCCCCGCCAUCAACUUUUAACUACGCGAAAAUAGUUCAAGUUUGUUCGUUCUAUAAAAAUACAGUACUUACUGUAUGUUUAUUCACCCGUGGGGUUGUUCAAUGAAUGGUGGGGCGGGGAGCACAAGUGAACAAUACUACCUCUGUCCGGGUUUAUUGGUCCCCAUUGUAUUUCAUGCCAAAUUUUGACCAUAGAUUAAACUAAGAAAAUAUUCACGCAUGUCACCAAACAUUAUAUUUUUCAAAACUAUGUUCAAAUACGAAUCCAAUGAGAUAAUUUUCCUUGACAUGCAUUAAUAUUUUGUUAGUUAAAUCUUUAGUCAAAAUUUGGCACAAACUAUAAAAGGGACCUAUAAAUCAGGACGGAGGUAGUACUGUAGUAGUAAGUAGGAGUCGUAGAGUAGUCACCUUAAAUAGAGAGUUUAUUUUCU
Molecule: long non-coding RNA, 12405 nt
Filed under: Triticum aestivum (bread wheat)
Lineage: Eukaryota; Viridiplantae; Streptophyta; Magnoliopsida; Poales; Poaceae
Source: RNAcentral